This 253-nucleotide ribosomal RNA is filed under the name uncultured bacterium. Its description in RNAcentral is "partial 16S ribosomal RNA". It matches the Rfam family "Bacterial small subunit ribosomal RNA", at positions 524 to 776 of the family's 1533-position model. The record is from RNAcentral.
UACGGGGGGGGCAAGCGUUGUUCGGAAUUACUGGGCGUAAAGGGUUCGUAGGUGGCCAACUAAGUCAUACGUGAAAUCCCUCAGCUUAACUGGGGAACUGCGUCUGAUACUGGUUGGCUUGAGUGCAGGAGAGGAACGCGGAAUUCCAGGUGUAGCGGUGAAAUGCGUAGAUAUCUGGAGGAACACCGGUGGCGAAGGCGGCGUCCUGGACCAACACUGACACUGAGGAGCGAAAGCCAGGGGAGCAAACGGG